AUGGACAUCACAUGCCUUGAAGAAACACUGAAGACAUUUCUAGAGCAACAGAAGUAUUUGAUCAUAUUGGAUGAUGUUUGGAAUCCACAGGCAUUUGAUGACUUGUCUAGAGCCCUUAUUCAUAAUGAUAAAGGCAGUAGAGUAAUAAUCACAACAAGGCAAGGGGAUGUUGCUGCACUUGCCUCUCGAGGACAUAUCUUAACACUAGAAGCUUUACCAGAAGAGAAGGCACAUGAUCUCUUUUGUAGGAAAGCCUUUCCAAGAGAUAAAAAUUAUGAAUGUCCUGCCGAGUUGAAGUCUUUGUCAGCAGAAAUUGUUUCCAAGUGCAAAGGCUUACCUCUUGUUAUUGUUUUAGUCGGCAGCCUCCUGCGUGUGCGUCAGAAAACUGUCAAAGAAUGGAGAAGAAUAAAUGACCAAUUGAGUUGGGAGCUAAUUAAUAAUUCGAGGCUUGAUCACAUAAGGAAUAUUUUACACCUGAGCUUCAUCUACCUUCCAACACACUUGAAAAGUUGCUUCUUGUUCUGCAGCUUAUUUCCAGAAGACUAUCUUUUUAAGAGGAAACAUCUUGUACGGUUAUGGACAGCAAAGAUGUUCAUCGAGGAGAGGGGUGAAAGCACAUUAGAAGAAGUAGCAGAAGGCUGUCUGAAGGACUUGAUUGAUAGAAACCUGCUACAACUUGUUAAAAGGAACAGUUUUGGUAGGAUGAAGGCAUUCAAAAUGCACGACAUCUUACGUGAAUUGGCGGUUGAAUUGUGCCAUAAGAACUGUUUUGGUGUCACAUACAAGGAUGAUUGUGGGGUGUCUCUUGAGAUGGAUGGACGUCGAUUGGUACUGCAUAGACCAAAGAAGGAUAUUCAGCUGCCGUUUUCCAGUAUACACCGACUUCGUACGAUCAUUACUCUGAAUGCAUGCAUGGUAUCAUUCACUCUACUACAUAUGCUAUGA
RNAcentral lists this ribosomal RNA (945 nucleotides) under Triticum aestivum (bread wheat). Its description in RNAcentral is "partial small subunit ribosomal RNA". Lineage: Eukaryota; Viridiplantae; Streptophyta; Magnoliopsida; Poales; Poaceae. The record is from RNAcentral.